RNAcentral lists this unclassified non-coding RNA (297 nucleotides) under Hevea brasiliensis (rubber tree). The record is from RNAcentral. Lineage: Eukaryota; Viridiplantae; Streptophyta; Magnoliopsida; Malpighiales; Euphorbiaceae.
UCUCAGACAAUGAGAAGUUGAAAAAUUCUUCUGAAAUGCCAAACAUAGCUAACCAGAAAGAAAAAAAUUCAUCUCAUGGAAUCCGCAAUGUGGUCUUGAAAUCAGAUGGAGGGAGUAUCUCUGGAGCAAAAUCGAAGCCACUGUUUUCCCCUGGCUUUCUUGGGAAACGUCCAUUGAACCUAUGUGCCAAGAAAGAUGUCUCAUGGCAAGUUUGCAAUAGCACACUUAAUGGUCUGACAAAUUCCUGUACGAUGCCUGAAUUGUCUCAUGAAAUCCACAUCGAUAAGGAUGACCAAG